RNAcentral lists this ribosomal RNA (752 nucleotides) under uncultured Staphylococcus sp. RNAcentral's name for it is "bacterial SSU rRNA". It matches the Rfam family "Bacterial small subunit ribosomal RNA", at positions 46 to 780 of the family's 1533-position model. Lineage: Bacteria; Bacillati; Bacillota; Bacilli; Caryophanales; Staphylococcaceae. The record is from RNAcentral.
GCCUAAUACAUGCAAGUCGAGCGAACAGACGAGGAGCUUGCUCCUCUGACGUUAGCGGCGGACGGGUGAGUAACACGUGGAUAACCUACCUAUAAGACUGGGAUAACUUCGGGAAACCGGAGCUAAUACCGGAUAAUAUAUUGAACCGCAUGGUUCAAUAGUGAAAGACGGUUUUGCUGUCACUUAUAGAUGGAUCCGCGCCGCAUUAGCUAGUUGGUAAGGUAACGGCUUACCAAGGCAACGAUGCGUAGCCGACCUGAGAGGGUGAUCGGCCACACUGGAACUGAGACACGGUCCAGACUCCUACGGGAGGCAGCAGUAGGGAAUCUUCCGCAAUGGGCGAAAGCCUGACGGAGCAACGCCGCGUGAGUGAUGAAGGUCUUCGGAUCGUAAAACUCUGUUAUUAGGGAAGAACAAAUGUGUAAGUAACUAUGCACGUCUUGACGGUACCUAAUCAGAAAGCCACGGCUAACUACGUGCCAGCAGCCGCGGUAAUACGUAGGUGGCAAGCGUUAUCCGGAAUUAUUGGGCGUAAAGCGCGCGUAGGCGGUUUUUUAAGUCUGAUGUGAAAGCCCACGGCUCAACCGUGGAGGGUCAUUGGAAACUGGAAAACUUGAGUGCAGAAGAGGAAAGUGGAAUUCCAUGUGUAGCGGUGAAAUGCGCAGAGAUAUGGAGGAACACCAGUGGCGAAGGCGACUUUCUGGUCUGUAACUGACGCUGAUGUGCGAAAGCGUGGGGAUCAAACAGGAUUA